UGCAGUCGAACGGCAGCACGAGAGAAGCUUGCUCUCUUGGUGGCGNAGUGGCGGACGGGUGAGGAAUACAUCGGAAUCUACCUUUUGGUGGGGGAUAACGUAGGGAAACUUACGCUAAUACCGCAUACGCCCUUCGGGGGAAAGCCGGGGACCUUCGGGCCUGGCGCUGAUAGAUGAGCCGAUGUCGGAUUAGCUAGUUGGUGAGGUAAUGGCUCACCAAGGCGACGAUCCGUAGCUGGUCUGAGAGGAUGAUCAGCCACACUGGAACUGAGACACGGUCCAGACUCCUACGGGAGGCAGCAGUGGGGAAUAUUGGACAAUGGGCGCAAGCCUGAUCCAGCCAUACCGCGUGGGUGAAGAAGGCCUUCGGGUUGUAAAGCCCUUUUGUUGGGAAAGAAAAGCGAUCGGUUAAUACCCGGUUGUUCUGACGGUACCCAAAGAAUAAGCACCGGCUAACUUCGUGCCAGCAGCCGCGGUAAUACGAAGGGUGCAAGCGUUACUCGGAAUUACUGGGCGUAAAGCGUGCGUAGGUGGUGGUUUAAGUCCGUUGUGAAAGCCCUGGGCUCAACCUGGGAAUUGCAGUGGAUACUGGGUCACUAGAGUGUGGUAGAGGAUAGUGGAAUUUCCGGUGU
This 632-nucleotide ribosomal RNA is filed under the name Pseudoxanthomonas sp. M67T2. RNAcentral's name for it is "bacterial SSU rRNA". It matches the Rfam family "Bacterial small subunit ribosomal RNA", at positions 56 to 676 of the family's 1533-position model. The record is from RNAcentral. Lineage: Bacteria; Pseudomonadati; Pseudomonadota; Gammaproteobacteria; Lysobacterales; Lysobacteraceae.